Cydia amplana is the source of this 1114-nucleotide long non-coding RNA. RefSeq lists it as uncharacterized. The transcript has 2 exons. The record is from RefSeq and is a predicted model, not a curated record. Lineage: Eukaryota; Metazoa; Arthropoda; Insecta; Lepidoptera; Tortricidae.
GCUGGAAUUUUACUCCUUCGUCUUUUGCCUCUGUCGUAAAAUUCUCCUGGUUAGGGGGGUGUGUAAUGGAAAAAUAUUUAGAUAACAAAAUACUUCUAUGAAGCCGGACGGGCGAUUAAAUCUGUGUCUCGAAUAGUGUCGAUGAACUGUCAAGUUGGCAGCGAUUCCGUGUUGCCAGGGAGAUAGGUCUGAAUCCCUUCGACACCAGUUCGGUCGACAACUAGUUCUUACCAAAAUAAUUAUUAUCAUUCUCGAUGAACGGGUAGGAAUGUAUAGAUUGUCGAGUCUUCCUUUCCCUUUCUUAAAAAAUAUCAUACCGUGCUUGUCCAGCAGCGUUUACCACGCUCUGGUCUAAUUUCCGUAUUUAGAAUUUCACGUCAGUUUUGUUAAAUGCCUUGGGAUUGUAACCCUGGCAACAUCGAAGAGGAGGCCCCGAGGGAGUGAUUCCGCCAUUUUGGGGACUUGGAUUUUUUCUUUCCCGACCCGACCUAACCGGGGUCGGCUUUAUAUUAAAUAAUUGGGACAACGUUCUCAUCUUUGGUAAGUAAUCUUAUAUUCGUUUGUGAAGACCGUGAAAUUCGGAAUCUGUUGUUGGAUUAUGCGAUUAUUGACGUGAACCGUUUAUUUCAGCCUGCCCUCAGGUGUGCCUUGAGGUUAACCGUUUCCCGAAAGGGCGAACCAGGAGCGUCCUGGGCACUUCGGAGUUGAUAUUCGAUCACUCAUAAACCCCGGCAAGACGAUUUUCCUCCGACAGGAGGUGUCUACUAGGGGCGCGGCCUUUGGUAGGCCAGAUUCUGUGCGAGUCGACCUGUGCAGCUGGCCCCGCCAGAGUCGGAGCUAUUGGAACCUCCGGCCAUCUGGUCGAGAGAGAGCCGUCGACUGUCGCUACAGUGCAGCUAAGCCUUUCACUACUUUUUCCUAAACUGCGAUUUUGGACUAUUCACCUUUUAGUAUUAACUAUCCAAUAGCGCAAUCGACCAAGUAUCACCAACAAUAAUUAAAACCCGGUUAGAUAAAUAUAAAUUUAGUUUACUACCAAUAAGUCGUUAAGUAGUGUUUAAGCUCAAAAGUGUAAACUUAACCAGGCUGGCAAUUAAAUUGUACCUGUCCACUA